Molecule: ribosomal RNA, 351 nt
Filed under: Chelinidea tabulata
Lineage: Eukaryota; Metazoa; Arthropoda; Insecta; Hemiptera; Coreidae
Description: partial large subunit ribosomal RNA
Rfam family: Archaeal large subunit ribosomal RNA (bases 132-291)
Source: RNAcentral
UUAAUAUUAUUUUAAUUUUAUUUAUUAUUAAUUUAGGUUUUUAUUAGAUUAUUUUAUUUAAUUUUUUAUUAUAAGUAAUAAUGAUGGAAUCAGUAGUUUUGUAUAUUUAGAUAUAGUAACUCGGCAAAUAUAGUCCUCGCCUGUUUAACAAAAACAUGUCCUUUAGAUUUAUUAAUUUAAGGUCUGACCUGCCCAGUGAUUUUAAACGGCCGCAGUAUUCUGACUGUGCGAAGGUAGCAUAAUCAUUUGUCUUUUAAUUGAAGGCUUGAAUGAAUGGUUGGACGAGGGACUAGCUUUCUUUAUCUAAUUUUUAUGAAUUUGAUUUUUGAGUUAGAAAGCUUAACUUAUUUU